GGGGUAGGGUUGUGUUACCUGUGUUGACUGAGCCUGUGUGUCUUCAGCUGGGCCUCAGUUAAUGGCAGGGUAAUGGCGUUUCAUCUGAGAGGCUGCCUCUGAUGGAACGGACGUUGCCUGUGCUUGCUGGUUCCUGUUGUUUAAGUUGGAUGCGUGCUGACGCGAUGGAGCAGCAGUCUGGGUAAAUGCUAAGGGGACCAUAUUUGUUCGUGACAUCGGAAGUGAGGCCUCAACUUGUUAUAUUUAUUUCUCUGGCUGCCCCCAUCUUAUGACUGAACCGUGGCAAGUGAACUCUUUUCUAGGCUGCAGUCCAUUUGUCAGAAACAAUUUCCAUAGUUUUGAAUUUUCUUUUUGGGGAGUAGUUGUGCAGCACAAAUGAAAGCUUCCCCCUCCCGUGGCACUUGCAAUUCACUCUAAAUGUCUGUGGUUUGCUCUAAGCCAGGCAUCAGUGCCUCUUCUUGGAGGUAUAAGUUCACGUAGGGUCUGGCAGAAGUUGUAGACAGGAUGUUGACUUGUGUGUCUUUGACUGACUGACUAGGAGGCCCAGGAGAGGUGCUACAUGGCUCCAGGCAAUCUCAACUUUUUAGCCAAGGCCUCUAAAAUGUAAGGUCUUAAAGUGCUUGCUUAAGAUUUCUGGGGCUGAUUUACCCACAAGGAUCUUUUAAAAUUACACUUGUUUUCUCCCAGAGAGAACAUGGGCAAAGGCUGUCCGGUGAUCUCCCUGCUAACUCCUGACUUGGUCCCCUUUUUGCUUCUCAGAUUUAGUAGUUCUCAUAAGCUAUGAAAUGCUCUCCACCAGGGUCUUCCACCAUUGCUAGUCUUAUUCUCUGAUGAUGCAGCAGGGCCUUAGACAGAAAUGACCUACGGCAACCUGUGAGUCCCGGUCCCGUGAGGGCUCCUUGUGUUAUGACAGUUCUGAGUCACUUUACUUAUUUUAACAUUUGCUGGCAACCAUAUACAAGACACAAGAGUCCCUCAGUAAUAGGCAAGUCAUGAGAAUGUCUCCUAUAGCCCAGUGGCUUUUGGAGGAUAGCUCACAUCCAUGGUUACUGACAUCAUUGUAGACUCUUGGAUGGUGACCAAGUAUAGGCUUUUACUCCUGCAACUGAGGAAGUCGAAGCCCUCGCUGGUGGACCACAGUUUUGUGUACUUGAAAUGUGAAGUCCUUCCUUAGGAAGGUAGAAGUGGUUUAGAGAACUCAGUUCUUAUUGAGACCCUGACAGGAAUCUGAACAAACUGAUUACUGUCAGCUUUUUUUAUUUUUCUGAUACUGAUUUUGGACAGUGUGGUGUUGGAAACUCAGACCAAUGAUUAUGAACAAUUAAUUGUAUUGUGACAAGACAAAAGGACCCACCAGGAAUAUCAGUGUCUAUUUUAGAAUUAGAUUCUAGCGGAAAGCUUGUAAAACAUAAGGGGAAAUAUGAAAAAUUAUGCAUCUCCUGCUUCCUGGACAAUAUGAGCAUUUUAAAAAUCAGGGUUACGUCAUAUGAAGCUGUCUCUGCCUUUUGAAAAUCCAAAUGAGCCUGGGUCAAAAUAUUUUUUGGCAGAGGAAUAUACAUUGUUUUGAAACAAUAGGCUGGGAGAACUUCGAGUGCCUCUGGAGUGACUCCUGUAGCUCCGAGGUGAGGCAGGACUCAUGGUUGACUGGUCGCUUUCUUUGGAUGUCUCAGUUGCUAUAAGCAAGCAUCUGUAUAGCAGAUGCUAUGCUGCAAGUGAAUGCUGGAGAGCACUGGAUAGUUGGUAGAGGGUUUUAUUUAUUUAUUUUUAUUUCAUUAUUGAACCAUGAUCUAGAAGAAAUCCAAGUUUGUAUUCUUCUGAAGAGAGACGAUGUUGUCAUCUGCCAGUGUAUAUGUCCCUCCCCAACGUGAGCUUGUGCUUAUGCACGCAAAGUGUCCUCGAGAUAUUUGUAACUGUGGUCUGACAACAUGAGACCAAGCUGCAUUUGUUUAUGCUACUGUU
RNAcentral lists this long non-coding RNA (1959 nucleotides) under Mus musculus (house mouse). RNAcentral's name for it is "long non-coding RNA chr17:75174151-75176110". The record is from RNAcentral. Lineage: Eukaryota; Metazoa; Chordata; Mammalia; Rodentia; Muridae.